GAUGAACGCUGGCGGCGUGCCUAAUACAUGCAAGUCGAGCGAACGGACGAGAAGCUUGCUUCUCUGAUGUUAGCGGCGGACGGGUGAGUAACACGUGGAUAACCUACCUAUAAGACUGGGAUAACUUCGGGAAACCGGAGCUAAUACCGGAUAAUAUUUUGAACCGCAUGGUUCAAAAGUGAAAGACGGUCUUGCUGUCACUUAUAGAUGGAUCCGCGCUGCAUUAGCUAGUUGGUAAGGUAACGGCUUACCAAGGCAACGAUGCAUAGCCGACCUGAGAGGGUGAUCGGCCACACUGGAACUGAGACACGGUCCAGACUCCUACGGGAGGCAGCAGUAGGGAAUCUUCCGCAAUGGGCGAAAGCCUGACGGAGCAACGCCGCGUGAGUGAUGAAGGUCUUCGGAUCGUAAAACUCUGUUAUUAGGGAAGAACAUAUGUGUAAGUAACUGUGCACAUCUUGACGGUACCUAAUCAGAAAGCCACGGCUAACUACGUGCCAGCAGCCGCGGUAAUACGUAGGUGGCAAGCGUUAUCCGGAAUUAUUGGGCGUAAAGCGCGCGUAGGCGGUUUUUUAAGUCUGAUGUGAAAGCCCACGGCUCAACCGUGGAGGGUCAUUGGAAACUGGAAAACUUGAGUGCAGAAGAGGAAAGUGGAAUUCCAUGUGUAGCGGUGAAAUGCGCAGAGAUAUGGAGGAACACCAGUGGCGAAGGCGACUUUCUGGUCUGUAACUGACGCUGAUGUGCGAAAGCGUGGGGAUCAAACAGGAUUAGAUACCCUGGUAGUCCACGCCGUAAACGAUGAGUGCUAAGUGUUAGGGGGUUUCCGCCCCUUAGUGCUGCAGCUAACGCAUUAAGCACUCCGCCUGGGGAGUACGACCGCAAGGUUGAAACUCAAAGGAAUUGACGGGGACCCGCACAAGCGGUGGAGCAUGUGGUUUAAUUCGAAGCAACGCGAAGAACCUUACCAAAUCUUGACAUCCUUUGACAACUCUAGAGAUAGAGCUUUCCCCUUCGGGGGACAAAGUGACAGGUGGUGCAUGGUUGUCGUCAGCUCGUGUCGUGAGAUGUUGGGUUAAGUCCCGCAACGAGCGCAACCCUUAAGCUUAGUUGCCAUCAUUAAGUUGGGCACUCUAAGUUGACUGCCGGUGACAAACCGGAAGAAGGUGGGGAUGACGUCAAAUCAUCAUGCCCCUUAUGAUUUGGGCUACACACGUGCUACAAUGGACAAUACAAAGGGCAGCGAAACCGCGAGGUCAAGCAAAUCCCAUAAAGUUGUUCUCAGUUCGGAUUGUAGUCUGCAACUCGACUACAUGAAGCUGGAAUCGCUAGUAAUCGUAGAUCAGCAUGCUACGGUGAAUACGUUCCCGGGUCU
Molecule: ribosomal RNA, 1372 nt
Filed under: uncultured bacterium
Lineage: Bacteria
Description: bacterial SSU rRNA
Rfam family: Bacterial small subunit ribosomal RNA
Source: RNAcentral